This 430-nucleotide ribosomal RNA is filed under the name uncultured bacterium. RNAcentral's name for it is "bacterial SSU rRNA". It matches the Rfam family "Bacterial small subunit ribosomal RNA", at positions 355 to 776 of the family's 1533-position model. The record is from RNAcentral.
UAGGGAAUUUUGCGCAAUGGGCGCAAGCCUGACGCAGCAACGCCGCGUGUGGGAUGAAGGCCUUCGGGUCGUAAACCACUGUCGGAGGGGACGAAUGGCUCUGCGGUUAAUACCCGCGGGGCGUGACGGUACCCUCAAAGGAAGCACCGGCUAACUCCGUGCCAGCAGCCGCGGUAAUACGGAGGGUGCAAGCGUUGUUCGGAAUUACUGGGCGUAAAGCGCGUGUAGGCGGCUUGGCAAGUCGGAUGUGAAAUCCCCGGGCUCAACCCGGGAACUGCAUCCGAAACUGUUUCGCUAGAGUCUCGGAGAGGAAGGCAGAAUUCCCAGUGUAGGGGUGAAAUCCGUAGAUACUGGGAGGAAUACCGGCAGCGAAGGCGGCCUUCUGGACGAUGACUGACGCUGAGACGCGAAAGCGUGGGGAGCAAACAGG